This 237-nucleotide ribosomal RNA is filed under the name uncultured Staphylococcus sp. Its description in RNAcentral is "partial 16S ribosomal RNA". It matches the Rfam family "Bacterial small subunit ribosomal RNA", at positions 103 to 334 of the family's 1533-position model. Lineage: Bacteria; Bacillati; Bacillota; Bacilli; Caryophanales; Staphylococcaceae. The record is from RNAcentral.
CGGGUGAGUAACACGUGGAUAACCUACCUAUAAGACUGGGAUAACUUCGGGAAACCGGAGCUAAUACCGGAUAAUAUAUUGAACCGCAUGGUUCAAUAGUGAAAGACGGUUUUGCUGUCACUUAUAGAUGGAUCCGCGUCGCAUUAGCUAGUUGGUAAGGUAACGGCUUACCAAGGCAACGAUGCGUAGCCGACCUGAGAGGGUGAUCGGCCACACUGGAACUGAGACACGGUCCAG